This 232-nucleotide ribosomal RNA is filed under the name uncultured bacterium. Its description in RNAcentral is "partial 16S ribosomal RNA". It matches the Rfam family "Bacterial small subunit ribosomal RNA", at positions 796 to 1041 of the family's 1533-position model. The record is from RNAcentral.
CUAGCCGUAAACGUUGAGAACUAAGUGUUGGGGAGACCCAGUGCUGAAGCUAACGCAUUAAGUUCUCCGCCUGAGGAGUACGCACGCAAGUGUAAAACUUAAAGGAAUUGACGGGGGCCCGCACAAGCAGUGGAGCAUGUGGUUUAAUUCGAGGCUACGCGAAGAACCUUACCAGGGCUUGACAGGAAACUUAAGACCCUAGAGAUAGGGGGAUAAUAAGUGAAACAGGUGG